RNAcentral lists this ribosomal RNA (578 nucleotides) under Triticum aestivum (bread wheat). RNAcentral's name for it is "partial small subunit ribosomal RNA". The record is from RNAcentral. Lineage: Eukaryota; Viridiplantae; Streptophyta; Magnoliopsida; Poales; Poaceae.
UUGGGUAGGCGGGCUCGGUCUGGUCUGGUCUGGUCUUGUUUGGAUCCAGCGGCGCGAGGCGGCGGGAGGUGGUGGCCGCUGUAGGGGAGGGUUCUUCCGCUUCUCUAGCCGGUUCUCCUCGUCGCCUAGCUCCCCCUGAGCGCCUUGCGCACCCUGCUCUGCUCCGGUGGCCGACCGAGGAACUACGCGGUGGCGGUCAAGGAGCUGUCGGGAGUUGCGGCCACAGGGAGGAGGUCGUUCGACCCGAAGAGGGAACCUCUUCCAACUAGAAGGACACCUAGACUCACGACGUUUGGACUUCGACGAACUUGUAUUACAAUGGAGAUUGGACCCUCAUUUCGUGUGUUAUAUCGAAGUAAAAGUGAGACGUCCUGUGUUUUGUGAUGUUUGAACAUAGACACUCGAAGUACGAUUUCAACUCUUGGUGACCUCCUACUUACGAUCGUGGAACUAUCGAAUUGUAUGGACUGGUCAGUGACGGGUCGAACCUACCUUCUAAAAAAACAACAACAACUUUUCCUACCUUCUAUUACGAGAAGCAACAACAAUAGAUGGAAGAAGGGAUGAUACAUGUGUAC